RNAcentral lists this ribosomal RNA (424 nucleotides) under uncultured bacterium. Its description in RNAcentral is "bacterial SSU rRNA". It matches the Rfam family "Bacterial small subunit ribosomal RNA", at positions 355 to 776 of the family's 1533-position model. The record is from RNAcentral.
UGAGGAAUAUUGGUCAGUGGGCGGAAGCCUGAACCAGCCAAGUAGCGUGCAGGAUGACGGCCCUUGUGGUUGUAAACUGCUUUUAGUCGGGAAUAAAAUGAUGGACGCGUCCCUCAUUGCAUGUACCGUCAGAAAAAGGACCGGCUCAUUCCGUGCCAGCAGCCGCGGUAAUACGGAAGGUCCGGGCGUUAUCCGGAUUUAUUGGGUUUAAAGGGAGCGCAGGCGGAAGAUUAAGUCAGCUGUGAAAUACGGUGGCUCAACCAUCGGGCUGCAGUUGAAACUGGUUUUCUUGAGUUCGCACAGGGAUGCCGGAAUUCAUGGUGUAGCGGUGAAAUGCUCAGAUAUCAUGAAGAACUCCGAUCGCGAAGGCAGGCAUCCGGAGCGCGACUGACGCUGAGGCUCGAAAGUGCGGGUAUCAAACAGG